UUUUGGAUCCGACUGAGUGGCGAACUGGUGAGUAACACUGGGGUAACCUGCCCAGAAAAGGGGAUAACACCUGGAAACAGAUGCUAAUACCGCAUAAUAAUCAAAACCACAUGGUUUUGAUUUCAAAGAUGGCUUCGGCUAUCACUCCAGGAUGGGCCCGCGGUGCAUUAGCUAGUUGGUAAGGUAACGGCUUACCAAGGCGAUGAUGCAUAGCCGAGUUGAGAGACUGAUCGGCCACAAUGGAACUGAGACACGGUCCAUACUCC
This 266-nucleotide ribosomal RNA is filed under the name uncultured Lactobacillus sp. Its description in RNAcentral is "partial 16S ribosomal RNA". It matches the Rfam family "Bacterial small subunit ribosomal RNA", at positions 79 to 339 of the family's 1533-position model. Lineage: Bacteria; Bacillati; Bacillota; Bacilli; Lactobacillales; Lactobacillaceae. The record is from RNAcentral.